This is a small nuclear RNA of Echinops telfairi (small Madagascar hedgehog), 111 nucleotides long. The record is from Ensembl. Lineage: Eukaryota; Metazoa; Chordata; Mammalia; Afrosoricida; Tenrecidae.
GUGCGCACUUCAGCAGCACAUAUACUAGAAUUGGAACGAUACAGAGAAGAUGAGCAUGGCCCCUCCCUGCACAAGGAUGACAUGCAAAUUCGUGGAGUUCCGUAUUUUUUU